UUUGUGAACUACUUUUGUACUGAAAUAUAUUUUCAUAUUUUUAGUUCGACUAUUGUGAGCUAAUGUUUUGACUAUUAGCUCUUGAGACCAUGACUUCGUUAGUAACAAAGUACUUUGAGUUGAAUGUGUAUGUAAUCCUGGAGUGCAAAGAACAUACCAAGUUGUUCUUUGUUUUCUUUGGUUCUGCAUUCGAUUCAAAGUGACAGGUUACUAGGAAAGGUUAUUGCAUACUUAUAAAGACUCAGUGAUCACCAUGAGUUCUUAUUUUGUUAGGAUGAAUCAUUGACAUUCAAGUGGGAGAAUGUAAGAUUGUGAAUGACAAUGAAUGUUGUAUUGGAUCAUUUUGUUGUAAGCCAAUUGUCUAUCGAGUGGUUAGCAACCAAAGUGAUCCGAUAGUCCUAACCUAAUAAGGAUUAUGGAGUCUUAUCCCUUGCAAUUAACCUAGAGGAAAUCUGAUAGAUUUAUUAUAAAGAUAUCGUAUCAUGGUGGGACUUAAAUACUAGAGAGAUAGGGUAGAUCUUAACAGCCAAUGAUAGGUCGGAUGUGAUGAAAACCCUAAUGAUAUAAAUACCACGGUUAAGUCUCUGCUUCCAUACACUUGUUCUCUCAUUCACGCCAAA
This 620-nucleotide long non-coding RNA is filed under the name Malus domestica (apple). Its description in RNAcentral is "long non-coding RNA (MDOM_LNC007991)". Lineage: Eukaryota; Viridiplantae; Streptophyta; Magnoliopsida; Rosales; Rosaceae. The record is from RNAcentral.